UAACGCGUAUGCAACCUACCUUAUACUGAGGGAUAGCCCAGAGAAAUUUGGAUUAAUACCUCAUAGUAUCAUUUGAAGGCAUCUGAGAAUGAUUAAAGAUUUAUCGGUAUAAGAUGGGCAUGCGUAAGAUUAGUUAGUUGGUGAGGUAACGGCUCACCAAGACUUCGAUCUUUAGGGGUUCUGAGAGGAUGAUCCCCCACACUGGUACUGAGAUACGGACCAGACUUC
Molecule: ribosomal RNA, 228 nt
Filed under: uncultured bacterium
Lineage: Bacteria
Description: partial 16S ribosomal RNA
Rfam family: Bacterial small subunit ribosomal RNA
Source: RNAcentral